Mus pahari (shrew mouse) is the source of this 1248-nucleotide long non-coding RNA. RefSeq lists it as uncharacterized. Lineage: Eukaryota; Metazoa; Chordata; Mammalia; Rodentia; Muridae. The transcript is spliced from 4 exons. The record is from RefSeq and is a predicted model, not a curated record.
GGGAAAGCAGGGGGCACAGAAAGCGGGGACAAAGUGGGGAGUGUGGGGGAACACCCAGGACUAGUUGGGGCGGGAAGAGGCCAGGGUCAGGGAUAGGAGCCGCGCCUUCCCACCCGAGCAGGUCCCUAAGGGGUGGACUCACCGAACCACCGAGCACCUCACCUGGCCUCUGCAACUCCAGCCGCACACCUGGCUCGUCCCCGGGCAGGCCCCUCCCCAACAGGCCCCGCCCAAUGUCAGAGCGCAAGUCGGGAGUCCCCAGGGUGGGCGGGACCAGGGGUCAGGGGCCCCUUUCUGAGGAGCCUCACAUGGAACUCCACUUGAAGUUUUCCCAGUAGAUGAGGCAGCUCCACAACCCAGCUGCCCCUGUGUGAAGCGAUCAUGGUCCUGGGGAACAUUUGUGGAGCAGCUAAGACAGAGCAGAUAAGACACCACUCACCUCUAGAGGGUGUUGUGACUUCAGGGGACAAUCGAUAUAAACCAUCAUCUCCAGUUUCCAGAAAUAACUGGGUCUCAGCCAAGCAGCACAGGCUGCCUCGGAGGGCAGGCUCCUCCAGGGGAUCUGAUGGACCUUGCUGAAUGGAGAGGAAGAGAAAACAGGGCUUGCCGCAUCUACCAUCCCCAUCCUAGUGAGGAAGCUUGGCUCACUGUGGGUGCUUAGUGAGCGUCGAAACCAUCCCCGCCGACCUUUGCUGAGCACACAGUUGAAGCCCUGUGACAGAAGACAGCGCAACGAGCAGAUGUUUAUGAAGUCGGAGGCUUCUUCUUUUUUUUUUUUUUCUCCCCAAGCAGCGAGUUCUAAGUUAAUGAGCAUGCCUGGGUGGAGCGCUGGAGACAGGAGAAAGACCAGGCCACCAGCAGAGGUCCAGGAUUUCCUGUUUGUGUUCUCGCCACCGGCGGCUCGCCUAGCCAGCUGCAGGAGCUGCAAUCUUCCAGGAAGCCUGCAUUUCCGCGCUGCUGACGCAGGGGGACAGGCAGGCAGAAAGGAAUCUGGGCGUCCCCCAGCCACUCCCUCUGCAGGCCAAGCUACUGUAACCCACCGAUCAAGCGCCUGCUUUCUGCUGGUAGCGGAGACAAGGUCAUGCUCUUGUUUUAGAACAGAGGCCGUCCUGACAUCACGCGGAGGAAUCCUGGUGCUUUCUCCUGGUGUGUUCUGUGGGACACUGUGGCCCAGUGUGGAAACCCUUUUGAUUCCCAGCUGAGUGGCCCCUGCUCUGGAUAUCCUACUGACUAAAACAGUUAUUACCU